UAGGCGAGGUAAUGGAACUUUCGAGUGAAACUACCUUGCGGCUUCAUUUUAAACAUUAGUCAAAGUAUGUAAUGAAAUAUUAAACAAAAAAAACUUUACAACAACGGAUCUCUUGGCUCUCGCAUCGAUGAAGAACGCAGCGAAAUGUGAUAAGUAAUGUGAAUUGCAGAAUUCAGUGAAUCAUCGAAUCUUUGAACGCACCUUGCGCUCCCUGGUAUUCCGGGGAGCAUGCCUGUUUGAGUGUCAUGAACUCUUCAACCCACCAGUUUCUAGUAGACUGCGUUGGUGUUUGGAUUUUGAGCGUUGCUAGUCUGACUAGCUCGUUCGUAAUACAUUAGCAUCUCUAAUUCGAAUUCGGAUUGACUCAGUGUAAUAGACUAUUCGCUGAGGACACUUUUAUUAGUGGCCGUACUAGAACCAGUAGAAGCUUCCAACUAUUGUAGUCAACUUUAAUUUAGACCUCAGAUCAGGCAGGAUUACCCGCUGAACUUAA
Molecule: ribosomal RNA, 493 nt
Filed under: uncultured fungus
Lineage: Eukaryota; Fungi
Description: eukaryotic LSU rRNA
Rfam family: 5.8S ribosomal RNA (bases 93-246)
Source: RNAcentral